AUGUCAUCAAGGAAAAAUCUAAACCAGCCCCUGAGAAGAAAGGCGGAAAUUAUCGAGGAGAAAAUUAAACCAGCUCCUAUAAAGAAAGAGCCAGAGGUUCCUAAAGAAAAGACACUUGAACCAACACCAGAACCUGCAAAGAGAGUUGAAGCUCCAAAGGAAAGGGCGAAACUAGUCCCUAAAGAAAAAGCACCUGAGAUAACUAAAGAAAAACCAAAACCAGCACCAAAGAAAGGUACUGCAAUUUUUCAUAAGAAUAAAGCCAUAAAAGUCCCUGAUUUUAAGUAA
This 288-nucleotide long non-coding RNA is filed under the name Sinocyclocheilus anshuiensis. RNAcentral's name for it is "lncRNA (ENSSANG00000012253.1)". Lineage: Eukaryota; Metazoa; Chordata; Actinopteri; Cypriniformes; Cyprinidae. The record is from RNAcentral.